UUAUGACCACACCACGUUGAAACACCAGUUCCCGUACGAUCAUCGAAGUUAAGCAACGUCAAGACUGGUCAGUACCUGGAUGGGUAAACUCUUUAGAAUACUAGAUGCUGUCAG
Non-coding RNA from Acanthosepion pharaonis, 114 nucleotides. The record is from the annotation of a GenBank genome assembly. NCBI's taxonomy places the organism in Eukaryota, Metazoa, Mollusca, Cephalopoda, Sepiida, Sepiidae.